RNAcentral lists this ribosomal RNA (933 nucleotides) under uncultured archaeon. RNAcentral describes it as "bacterial SSU rRNA". It matches the Rfam family "Archaeal small subunit ribosomal RNA", at positions 1 to 922 of the family's 1478-position model. The record is from RNAcentral.
UUCCGGUUGAUCCUGCCGGACCCGACUGCUAUUUGGGUGAGGAUAAGCCAUGCGAGUUGAAUGGGAAACCUAAAAAUCCCAUGGCAAACUGCUCAGUAACACAUGAUCAACUUACCCUAUAGAGGAAAAUAACCUCGGGAAACUGAGGAUAAUGUUCCAUAGUUGAAUCGGCUUGGAAAAGUUUUUCAAUAAAAGGGAUAAGGAAAAUGGUCCUUAUCUGCUAUAGGAUAGGAUCAUGCUCGAUUAUGGUUGUUGGUGAGGUAAAGGCUCACCAAGCCGAUAAUCGAUAGGGGCCGUGAGAGCGGGAGCCCCGAGAUGGGUACUGAGACAACGACCCAGGCCUUACGAGGCGCAGCAGGCGCGAAACCUCCGCAAUACACGAAAGUGUGACGGGGUUACCCAAAGUGUUCAUUAGAACUGUGGUAGGUGAGUAAUGUUCCCUACUAGAAAGGAGAGGGCAAGGCUGGUGCCAGCCGCCGCGGUAAAACCAGCUCUUCAAGUGGUCGGGAUAAUUAUUGGGCUUAAAGUGUCCGUAGCCGGUUUAGUAAGUUCCUGGUAAAAUCGGGUAGCUUAACUAUCUAUAUGCUAGGAAUACUGCUAUACUAGAGGGCGGGAGAGGUCUGAGGUACUACAGGGGUAGGGGUGAAAUCUUAUAAUCCUUGUAGGACCACCAGUGGCGAAGGCGUCAGACUGGAACGCGCCUGACGGUGAGGGACGAAAGCCAGGGGAGCGAACCGGAUUAGAUACCCGGGUAGUCCUGGCCGUAAACGAUGCAUACUAGGUGAUGGCACGGCCAUGAGCCGUGUCAGUGCCGUAGGGAAACCGUUAAGUGUGCCGCCUGGGAAGUACGGUCGCAAGGCUAAAACUUAAAGGAAUUGGCGGGGGAGCACCACAAGGGGUGAAGCCUGCGGUUCAAUUGGAUUCAACGCCGGG